AGACUUGCAUGGGAUUCCUUCAGUGCAGAAUUCUGGAAUGUUGAUGAACACCAGGACAUCAACUGGGAGUGGCCCAGAAGCCCGAAGCUGAGAGGACAAAGCUCACUGGGGUGACAUGAAAUGGCCGUUCUAGUCUAUGCAAUGGCAGCAUGAACACAGAAAGCUGAAACGGGGGAUCAGUUCUGCAGCCAAGAGACAUUAAAGCUCAAAGCACAGGAAAAGAGAGUGGAGGGGCUGCUGCCCCAGGAAGGCUGGGCCCACCCCUCCUCACAGGCACCCUGAUGCCUGUUCAGCUUGGCUCUCUGGAUGACAGGCAGAAGCCCCAGUUGCUUCUCUUCUCCACGGUGAUUUCUGCAUACUUUAUCCAAACCCCCUCCCCACCGCUGUUCAGUUUCUGGCUCCUCUUCCUGCCCGUGCUCUGAGGCCAGCUGGGGGCCUCCCAGGUGACUCCUGCUGCUGCUGUCACUGGACCCUGACGCUGUGCCGCACCCGAAUUCCUCCGAAUGGAGCCUUGGCCAGAGCAAGGCGUGCCGUGUAGAGGAGCGGAUCUGAGCCUGGCAGGAGAUCGCUAAAACCUUUGCCCUUCACACAAACGCGGAAGCACGGGGCGGGUGCUGAAGAGCCAAGCAAGUGUCCCCCAUUUCCUUCCAAGGCAGAGCAGCAGCCCAGGGAGGCCCAGUUUCCAUCGCGGCAGAAGGGCAGAAGAGUGGGGGAGGUCCCAGGACCACAGCCCAGGGGACACUCAGGAUGCGCCAGGAAGGACAUGGCAGACAGGCCCUUUAGGUGGAAAAGCAACCCUCAGCUGCCCAGAGAGCGGCCCCUCCAGGCCCUCCCCGCCGUCUGCAAAGCUCUUCAGCUGGGAGAGGAGGAAAGGGUUUGUUCUUGACCUCCUUCCUUUCCUUUCUUCUCCACUGUCCACCAGAGAGCAGGAAGACAGGCUGAUGCUCUUGUUAAAGAUGAAGGCAUAAUUCACAUGCCAUAAAAUUCACCAUUUUAACCAU
Homo sapiens (human) is the source of this 1001-nucleotide long non-coding RNA. Ensembl annotates it as ETS2 antisense RNA 1. Its record names the gene ETS2-AS1. The record is from Ensembl. Lineage: Eukaryota; Metazoa; Chordata; Mammalia; Primates; Hominidae.